AUUGAACGCUGGCGGCAUGCUUUACACAUGCAAGUCGAACGGUAACAGGGUGCUUGCACCGCUGACGAGUGGCGAACGGGUGAGUAAUGCGUCGGAACGUGCCGAGUAGUGGGGGAUAACGCAGCGAAAGUUGUGCUAAUACCGCAUACGUACUGAGGUAGAAAGUGGGGGACCUUCGGGCCUCACGCUAUUCGAGCGGCCGACGUCUGAUUAGCUAGUAGGUGAGGUAAAGGCUCACCUAGGCGACGAUCAGUAGCGGGUCUGAGAGGCUGAUCCGCCACACUGGGACUGAGACACGGCCCAGACUCCUACGGGAGGCAGCAGUGGGGAAUUUUGGACAAUGGGCGAAAGCCUGAUCCAGCCAUGCCGCGUGUCUGAAGAAGGCCUUCGGGUUGUAAAGGACUUUUGUCAGGGAGGAAAUCCCUAGUGCUAAUAACACUGGGGGAUGACAGUACCUGAAGAGUAAGCACCGGCUAACUACGUGCCAGCAGCCGCAGUAA
Molecule: ribosomal RNA, 500 nt
Filed under: uncultured bacterium
Lineage: Bacteria
Description: partial 16S ribosomal RNA
Rfam family: Bacterial small subunit ribosomal RNA
Source: RNAcentral